RNAcentral lists this ribosomal RNA (345 nucleotides) under uncultured bacterium. RNAcentral's name for it is "bacterial SSU rRNA". It matches the Rfam family "Bacterial small subunit ribosomal RNA", at positions 335 to 696 of the family's 1533-position model. The record is from RNAcentral.
ACUCCUACGGGAGGCAGCAGUGGGGAAUAUUGCACAAUGGGCGCAAGCCUGAUGCAGCAACGCCGCGUGAGCGAUGAAGGCCUCGGUCGUAAGACUCUGUCCUCAAGAAGAAUAAAUAGACGGUACUUGAGGAGGAAGGCCCGGCCGUAACUACGUGCCAGCAGCCGCGGUAAUACGUAGGGGCGAAGCGUUAUCCGGAAUCACUGGCGUAAAGGGUGCGUAGGCGGUUUUCUAAGUCAGAAGUGAAAGGCUAUGGCUCAACCAUAGUAAGCUUUUGAAACUUGUUAAACUUGAGUGCAGGAGAGGAAAGUGGAAUUCCUAGUGUAGAGGUGAAAUUCGUAGAUA